CUUUUCGAGGUAGGAGUCGACUCCUGUGAGGUAUGGUGCUGGGUGCAGAUGCAGUGUGGCUCUGGAUAGCACCUUAUGGACAGUUGUGUCCCCAAGGAAGGAUGAGAAUAGCUACUGAAGUCCUAAAGAGCAAGCCUAACUCAAGCCAUUGGCACACAGGCAUUAGACAGAAAGCUGGAAGUUGAAAUGGUGGAGUCCAACUUGCCUGGACCAGCUUAAUGGUUCUGCUCCUGGUAACGUUUUUAUCCAUGGAUGACUUGCUUGGGUAAGGACAUGAAGACAGUUCCUGUCAUACCUUUUAAAGGUACAUGUUUUAUUGAUGUUAACGUUAAUUGAUUGAGCUACUGUUAGUGAUGAUUUUAAAAUUAAAGCAGAUGGGAAUCUCUCUGAGAAAGAAAAUGGAGAUUAAUCUUAAACUGAAACAGUAGUUGGGAAAUCUUUUAGAAAUCCACCUAUUACUACCUAUUGGUAAAGGAGAUUAAAUUUCUACAGGUAUGGAGAGUCGGCUUGACUACACUGUGUGGAGCAAGUUUUAAAGAAGCAAAGGUAUAGCAGUUCCAAGUAUUUUUUUUUUUUUUUUAGACAAGAGUCUAGCUCUUGCCCAGAAUGGAGUGCAGCGGCACUAUCAGUUCACUGCAACCUCUGCCUCCCAGGUUCAAGGAAUUCUCCUGCCUCAGCCUCUUGAGUAGCUGGGAUUACAGGCAUGUGACACCAUGCCUGGCUAAUUUUGUACAGCUAUGUUGUCCAGGCUGGUCUCGAACUCUUGACCUCAAGUGAUACUGCCCGCACUGACCUCCCAAAGUGCUGGGAUUACAGGCGUGAGCCACCAUGCCCCGCCUCAAGUCUGGUUUUUAAGUGUUGUAAAGCCGAUACAAUGAUGAUAACAUAGUUCAGCAGACUAACGCUGAUGAGCAAUAUUAAGUCUUUCGCUCCUAUCUGAUGUAUCUGGCGGUAACAUUCUAGUUUAUGCCCCGAAAAGGGGAAUAUAGCCAUUCUAUAAUGUUUGGAGAUUUUGGAUUACUCCUAAUUGUAUGCAAGUUGUCUUACUGUGUAUUGUCCCUUAAUUUCAGGACUCAGAAUUCAUGAUUGAAGAAAUGCAGGUUAGUUUAAACUUUGAAGGAAAUUUUUAAGGUGGCAAAAGGUUUUGGUGGCAUAUACACCUUAAUCUGUAGAUGGGAGUGAUUAGCUGUUUAAAAGUUAAAAUGUGACUGAGAAGGAAAUUGAGUAGGGCAAAUUUUAAAUGGGUAUUAUUUUUCAUCUUCAAACAGGCAGACCUGUUAUCCUAAACUAGGGUUUUUAAUGACCACAACAAGCAAGCAUGCAGCUUACUGCUUGAAAGGGUCUUGCCUCACCCAAGCUAGAGUGCAGUGGCCUUUGAAGCUUACUACAGCCUCAAACUUCUGGGCUCAAGUGAUCCUCAGCCUCCCAGUGGUCUUUGUAGACUGCCUGAUGGAGUCUCAUGGCACAAGAAGAUUAAAACAGUGUCUCCAAUUUUAAUAAAUUUUUGCAAUCCA
Molecule: long non-coding RNA, 1514 nt
Organism: Homo sapiens (human)
Lineage: Eukaryota; Metazoa; Chordata; Mammalia; Primates; Hominidae
Gene: GAS5
Product: growth arrest specific 5
Source: Ensembl